This 92-nucleotide transfer RNA is filed under the name Setaria italica (foxtail millet). The record is from Rfam by way of RNAcentral. Lineage: Eukaryota; Viridiplantae; Streptophyta; Magnoliopsida; Poales; Poaceae.
UAAAGUUUAGCCCCUGACAUCCAAACGCCCCCUAAGGCGCCAGAUUUAGGCUCUGGUCCGAAAGGGCGUGGGUUCAAAUCCCACAGCUGUCA